This 292-nucleotide ribosomal RNA is filed under the name uncultured bacterium. RNAcentral's name for it is "partial 16S ribosomal RNA". It matches the Rfam family "Bacterial small subunit ribosomal RNA", at positions 505 to 796 of the family's 1533-position model. The record is from RNAcentral.
GUUUCAGCCGCCGCGGUAAUACGGGGGGGGCAAGCGUUGUUCGGAAUUACUGGGCGUAAAGGGUUCGUAGGUGGCCGACUAAGUCAGACGUGAAAUCCCUCAGCUUAACUGGGGAACUGCGUCUGAUACUGGUUGGCUUGAGGACAGGAGAGGAACGCGGAAUUCCAGGUGUAGCGGUGAAAUGCGUAGAUAUCUGGAGGAACACCGGUGGCGAAGGCGGCGUUCUGGACUGUUUCUGACACUGAGGAACGAAAGCCAGGGGAGCAAACGGGAUUAGAUACCCGAGUAGUCC